RNAcentral lists this ribosomal RNA (198 nucleotides) under uncultured marine bacterium. Its description in RNAcentral is "partial 16S ribosomal RNA". It matches the Rfam family "Bacterial small subunit ribosomal RNA", at positions 438 to 645 of the family's 1533-position model. The record is from RNAcentral.
GUACGGGGGGAAUAGGGCGGUACCUUGACGGUACCUAACAAAUACCACAGCUAACUACGUGCCAGCAGCCGCGGUAUACAUAAGUGGCAAGCGUUGUCCGGAAUUAUUGGGCGUAAAGGGCUCGCAGGCGGUUUCUUAAGUCUGAUGUGAAAGCCCCCGGCUCAACCGGGGAGGGUCAUUGGAAACUGGGGAACUUGA